GAUGAACGCUAGCUACAGGCUUAACACAUGCAAGUCGAGGGGAAACGACAUCGAAAGCUUGCUUUUGAUGGGCGUCGACCGGCGCACGGGUGAGUAACGCGUAUCCAACCUGCCCAUCACUUGGGGAUAACCUUGCGAAAGUAAUACUAAUACCCAAUGAUAUCUCUAGAAGACAUCUGAAAGAGAUUAAAGAUUUAUCGGUUAUGGAUGGGGAUGCGUCUGAUUAGCUUGUUGGCGGGGUAACGGCCCACCAAGGCAACGAUCAGUAGGGGUUCUGAGAGGAAGGACCCCGACAUUGGAACUGAGACACGGUCCAAACUCCUACGGGAGGCAGCAGUGAGGAAUAUUGGUCAAUGGGCGAGAGCCUGAACCAGCCAAGUAGCGUGCAGGAAGACGGGCCUAUGGGUUGUAAACUGCUUUUAUAAGGGAAUAAAGUGAGAGUCGUGACUAUUUUUGUAUGUACCUUAUGAAUAAGGACCGGCUAAUUCCGU
RNAcentral lists this ribosomal RNA (491 nucleotides) under uncultured bacterium. Its description in RNAcentral is "partial 16S ribosomal RNA". It matches the Rfam family "Bacterial small subunit ribosomal RNA", at positions 28 to 506 of the family's 1533-position model. The record is from RNAcentral.